Long non-coding RNA from Ictalurus punctatus (channel catfish), 259 nucleotides. RefSeq lists it as uncharacterized. Lineage: Eukaryota; Metazoa; Chordata; Actinopteri; Siluriformes; Ictaluridae. The record is from RefSeq and is a predicted model, not a curated record. The transcript has 3 exons.
CGCACACACAGAGAUUCAAACAAAUGAAAAACCACAAUGCAGAAGCUUAAGCAUACGCAAUGCAAUGCAGUGACAGAAGGACUCAGAGAUGAUGUAAUCCUUUACACCCCCUCAUUUUGAGCAAUGCGUGUUGUUUGUGAGAGCUCUGUGUGACCAUCAUGCUGCACUGCCAUAGAAAGAAGACACUGGCUACAGCUGGAAGACCAGAAAAAGGGUCACUACCCGUCUCACCAAACAUGACAAUUUUGCUCAUUAAAAA